CAAUAGUGUAUAUUAAAGUUGUUGCAGUUAAAAAGCUCGUAGUUGAACUUCUGACAGUGUGCAGUUUUGGCUUCGGUCAGGCUGUUCGCUGUCAUCCGUCUGCAAACCUUGUUCGACCUUCACUGGUACGGCAAGGGGAGUAGACAUUUUACUUUGAAAAAAUUAGAGUGUUUCAAGCAGGCAAUCGCCAGAAUACUUUAGCAUGGAAUAAUGGAAUAGGACUCUUGUCCAUUUGGUUGGUUAUUGGACAUGAGUAAUGAUUAAUAGGGACAGUUGGGGGCAUUAGUAUUUAAUUGUCAGAGGUGAAAUUCAUGGAUUUAUUAAAGACUAACUUAUGCGAAAGCAUUUGCCAAGGAUGUUUUCAUUAA
Molecule: ribosomal RNA, 368 nt
Filed under: uncultured eukaryote
Lineage: Eukaryota
Description: partial 18S ribosomal RNA
Rfam family: Eukaryotic small subunit ribosomal RNA
Source: RNAcentral